This 465-nucleotide ribosomal RNA is filed under the name Vreelandella stevensii. Its description in RNAcentral is "partial 16S ribosomal RNA". It matches the Rfam family "Bacterial small subunit ribosomal RNA", at positions 338 to 795 of the family's 1533-position model. The record is from RNAcentral. Lineage: Bacteria; Pseudomonadati; Pseudomonadota; Gammaproteobacteria; Oceanospirillales; Halomonadaceae.
CCUACGGGAGGCUGCAGUGGGGAAUAUUGGACAAUGGGGGCAACCCUGAUCCAGCCAUGCCGCGUGUGUGAAGAAGGCCCUCGGGUUGUAAAGCACUUUCAGUGAGGAAGAACGCCUGGUGGUUAAUACCCAUCAGGAAAGACAUCACUCACAGAAGAAGCACCGGCUAACUCCGUGCCAGCAGCCGCGGUAAUACGGGGGGUGCGAGCGUUAAUCGGAAUUACUGGGCGUAAAGCGCGCGUAGGUGGCUUGAUAAGCCGGUUGUGAAAGCCCCGGGCUCAACCUGGGAACGGCAUCCGGAACUGUCAAGCUAGAGUGCAGGAGAGGAAGGUAGAAUUCCCGGUGUAGCGGUGAAAUGCGUAGAGAUCGGGAGGAAUACCAGUGGCGAAGGCGGCCUUCUGGACUGACACUGACACUGAGGUGCGAAAGCGUGGGUAGCAAACAGGAUUAGAUACCCUGGUAGUC